Molecule: ribosomal RNA, 497 nt
Filed under: uncultured bacterium
Lineage: Bacteria
Description: partial 16S ribosomal RNA
Rfam family: Bacterial small subunit ribosomal RNA
Source: RNAcentral
GAUGAACGCUGGCGGCGUGCCUAAUACAUGCAAGUCGAGCGAACAGAUGAGGAGCUUGCUCCUCUGACGUUAGCGGCGGACGGGUGAGUAACACGUGGAUAACCUGCCUAUAAGACUGGGAUAACUUCGGGAAACCGGAGCUAAUACCGGAUAAUAUAUUGAACCGCAUGGUUCAAUAGUGAAAGACGGUUUUGCUGUCACUUAUAGAUGGAUCCGCGCCGCAUCAGCUAGUUGGUAAGGUAACGGCUUACCAAGGCAACGAUGCGUAGCCGACCUGAGAGGGUGAUCGGCCACACUGGAACUGAGACACGGUCCAGACUCCUACGGGAGGCAGCAGUAGGGAAUCUUCCGCAAUGGGCGAAAGCCUGACGGAGCAACGCCGCGUGAGUGAUGAAGGUCUUCGGAUCGUAAAACUCUGUUAUUAGGGAAGAACAAAUGUGUAAGUAACUAUGCACGUCUUGACGGUACCUAAUCAGAAAGCCACGGCUAACUACGUG